AAAUUAUUUUAUAAUAGAGAAAACACAGGGGGCAAAUUGAAAAGACUCAGGGUGAUAUCGUUGCAGACAAGGAUGUUAUUAUUCGUCGUUCAUGGUUGAAUGAUGUGAAACAUAUGUUACGCUGAUACAGACAGAGCCACAGCAUGGGCUUGCAAAUCUUGCUAUCAUAUUUGUUAGGAGAUGCUGGCAGCCUUAUAUUGUGGGUUUGGUAUGUAAUAUAUAAUUUGUUGUGCCUAAUAAAGCUAUGAA
Long non-coding RNA from Dendronephthya gigantea, 249 nucleotides. RefSeq lists it as uncharacterized. Lineage: Eukaryota; Metazoa; Cnidaria; Anthozoa; Malacalcyonacea; Nephtheidae. The transcript has 3 exons. The record is from RefSeq and is a predicted model, not a curated record.